GACGAACGCUGGCGGCGUGCUUAACACAUGCAAGUCGAACGGAAAGGCCCUGCUUGCCUGGUACUCGAGUGGCGAACGGGUGAGUAACACGUGGGUGAUCCGCCCUGCACCUCGGGAUAAGCCUGGUAAACGGGGUCUAAUACCGGAUAGGUGCCAUUUUGAGCGUGAUGGUUGGAAAGUUUUUUGGGUGUAGGAUGGGCGCGCGGCCUAUCAGGUUGUUGGUGGGGUAGUGGCCUACCAAGGCGGGGACGGGUAGCCGGCCGGAGAGGGUGGACGGCCACAUUGGGACUGAGAUACGGCCCAGACACCUACGGGGGGCAGCAGUGGGGGAUAGUGAACAAUGGGCGCAAGCCUGAUGCAGCGACGCCGCGUGGGGGAUGACGGACUUCGGGUUGUAAGCGCCUUUCGCUAGGGACGAAGCUUUUUGUGACGGUACCUAGAGAAGAAGCACCGGCUAACUACGUG
This 465-nucleotide ribosomal RNA is filed under the name uncultured bacterium. RNAcentral's name for it is "partial 16S ribosomal RNA". It matches the Rfam family "Bacterial small subunit ribosomal RNA", at positions 28 to 507 of the family's 1533-position model. The record is from RNAcentral.